UCAAUUUGUAUGGCUUUCUCCAUACAUUUCACAAUAUCUUUAAUUAAUUCGAUUUUUUCGUCAUACUCCAUUUUCUAAAAUAUUUAAAUUAUAUUAUGUAUAUUUGUAUACAUAUUUGCAAAUUACUUGCCAAAAGAUGAAAUUAAAUUUUUUAAAUAUAUUCAAAAUAUUAAUUUCAAAAAAUAUACUCAAAUGCAACUAUGUACUACGAAAGAAAGAACACGAAUGCCGAAAAACGUCGCAGCGAACUGCUACGAAUGAGAACACAAAGCGAGUUGCUGAACACUGGAAACUCGGCGCGAUUCUCCUCUCCUCGUCGCCCCCUCGCCUAUAAACCAAGAGUUGCCGAGACAAAAGUUGCUGCGUGUAAUAAGCGAGUUAAGAUUAACGAAGAGAAAACUGUUUUCGUAAAUGGAAAGCGGAAUGGCUCCAUUACUAUGCUCACUAAACAUUUUAUUUAAAUAUGUAUGUACCUUUAAACUGAUAUAAAUAUGUAAUUUAAAUACGAUUUUUAUUCGUAAUUCAUAAACAUUUAGAGCUAACUCAACAAUACAUUGUCAGAACAUUGAUAUAAUUAUAAUCACGUUGAUGUGUUAUCAUUUUAUUCGACAAGUUAAACCGUUAUGUACAUGUUUGUCGAAUUCGUCCCAUAAAAUGAAUAUAUUUGCGAUUUCUAAACGACGCUUAAAACUCCGAUUCGCGUAUGAGCCCGAUGUAUUCAGCGGCGUUUUCCAGAAACAGUUCCUUAGCUGCUAUAUUGGAGAUUUUGGAGCCUUUUUCUUGCAUUACGCUGCAUGCAUAAUGACUGAGUUUUCACGAAAAAAUGCGUUGUAUGAUAGCAAUGGUCUGCUUCCGGUCAUCUUCAACACCAACCAGCUGUGAAUACUAAGGAAGAUGUGCCAAGCCAAGAUUUGCCAUUUUAUGGUCUUAAUAAUCGUCCUUUAUUCUCUGAUAUUCUUUGAAUUGAAUUUGAAUAUUGGAUUCAACUGGCAUUUACCUAAACAUUUGAUCUAUGAAAUAAGAGGUUUUUAAAUAAGAGCGCUAUACAGGGUUUUUGAAAUAAACCAAAAACGGUUUGGGAUA
Long non-coding RNA from Bactrocera dorsalis (oriental fruit fly), 1083 nucleotides. RefSeq lists it as uncharacterized. NCBI's taxonomy places the organism in Eukaryota, Metazoa, Arthropoda, Insecta, Diptera, Tephritidae. The record is from RefSeq and is a predicted model, not a curated record. The transcript is spliced from 2 exons.